Molecule: non-coding RNA, 84 nt
Organism: Sphaerobolus stellatus SS14
Lineage: Eukaryota; Fungi; Basidiomycota; Agaricomycetes; Geastrales; Sphaerobolaceae
Source: Rfam
UCCUUGCUAGCCUAAUCGAUAGAGCGUGAGACUUUUAAUAAUAAGCGUAUCUCAAGGUUGGGAGUUCGACUCUCCCAUGAGGCU